This 1350-nucleotide ribosomal RNA is filed under the name metagenome. Its description in RNAcentral is "bacterial LSU rRNA". It matches the Rfam family "Bacterial large subunit ribosomal RNA", at positions 1564 to 2925 of the family's 2925-position model. The record is from RNAcentral.
UGAGUGCGAGCUGCUACGGCAGCGAAGUUGGUGACGUCAUGCUUCCAAGAAAAGCCCUAUACCCGUUAAGGCAUCAUGGCCUGCACCCGAAACCGACACAGGUGGGGUGGUAGAGAAUACCGAGGGGCGCGAGGUAACUCUCUCUAAGGAACUCGGCAAAAUGGCCCCGUAACUUCGGGAGAAGGGGUGCCACCGCAAGGUGGUCGCAGUGAAGAGGCCCAGGCGACUGUUUACCAAAAACACAGGUCUCCGCUAAGUCGCAAGACGAUGUAUGGGGGCUGACGCCUGCCCAGUGCCGGAAGGUUAAGGAAGCUGGUCAGCGCAAGCGAAGCUAGCGACUGAAGCCCCGGUGAACGGCGGCCGUAACAAUAACGGUCCUAAGGUAGCGAAAUUCCUUGUCGGGUAAGUUCCGACCCGCACGAAAGGCGUAACGAUCUGGGCGCUGUCUCGGAGAGAGGCUCGGCGAAAUAGAAUUGUCUGUGAAGAUGCGGACUACGUGCACCCGGACAGAAAGACCCUAUGAAGCUUUACUGUAGCUUGGUAUUGUGCCCGGGCUCGCAAUGCGCAGGAUAGGUGGGAGGCUUUGAUCAUCGGCUUGCGGGUCGAUGUGAGCCAACGGUGAGAUACCACUCUUUGCGAGCUAGGGUUCUAACGGCCACCCGUCAUCCGGGGGCCGGACAGUACCUGGUGGGCAGUUUGACUGGGGCGGUCGCCUCCUAAAAGGUAACGGAGGCGCGCAAAGGUUUGCUCAGGCUGGUUGGAAAUCAGCCGACGAGUGUAAAAGCAGAAGCAAGCUUGACUGUGAGACCAACAAGUCGAACAGGGAGGAAACUCGGCUUUAGUGAUCCGACGGUUCUGAGUGGAAGGGCCGUCGCUCAACGGAUAAAAGUUACUCUAAGGAUAACAGGCUGAUCUCCCCCAAGAGUUCACAUCGACGGGGAGGUUUGGCACCUCGAUGUCGGCUCAUCGCAACCUGGGGCUGAAGUCGGUCCCAAGGGUUGGGCUGUUCGCCCAUUAAAGCGGUACGCGAGCUGGGUUCAGAACGUCGUGAGACAGUUCGGUCCAUAUCCGGUGCACGCGCAGGAAUAUUGAGAGGAUUUCUCCCUAGUACGAGAGGACCGGGAGGAACGCACCUCUGGUGUACCAGUUAUCGUGCCAACGGUAAACGCUGGGUAGCCAUGUGCGGAGUGGAUAACCGCUGAAAGCAUCUAAGUGGGAAGCCCACCUCAAGAUGAGUAUUCCCAUGGCGUAAGCCAGUAAGGUCACGGGAAGAACACCCGUUGAUAGGCUCUAUGUGGAAGCGCAGUAAUGCGUGAAGCAGAGGAGUACUAAUAGACCGAGGGCUUGACC